AUGGUUAUAGGGGACUUUAAUGAAAUCUUAUACUCGACAGAGAAAGACGGUGCCCCCCGACAACAGUCGAGGUUGCAGGCGUUCCAAGACGCCUUGUCUGAUUGUAUGUCGGAGGAUAUCGGUUAUAAUGGGGAUAGAUUCACUUGGUUCCGAGGAGGGUUCCGAGAGAGACUAGACAGAGCGGUCACAAACGCGGCUUGGCUUUUAUUACAUCCGUUUGCUGGUCUCAGUAAUCUUGACAUGGGAAAAUCAGACCACCGGCCCAUACUA
This 270-nucleotide ribosomal RNA is filed under the name Triticum aestivum (bread wheat). RNAcentral's name for it is "partial small subunit ribosomal RNA". Lineage: Eukaryota; Viridiplantae; Streptophyta; Magnoliopsida; Poales; Poaceae. The record is from RNAcentral.